UUAUAGUUUUGCAGGCUGUACCGACAACAUAGUGGCUUCUGCUUCUGGGGAGGCUUCAGGAAACUUACAGUCAUGGAGGAAGGAGAAGGAGAAACAGGCAUAUCUUACAUGACCAAAGCAGGAGCAUGAAAGGUUGGGGUAAGGGGAAAGAUGUCACUCUCUUUCUUUGUCUAAGUAU
Molecule: long non-coding RNA, 178 nt
Filed under: Papio anubis (olive baboon)
Lineage: Eukaryota; Metazoa; Chordata; Mammalia; Primates; Cercopithecidae
Description: lncRNA (ENSPANG00000050949.1)
Source: RNAcentral